UUNUGAACUGGGUGACUAGAGUGUNUCAGAGGGAGGUAGAAUUCCACGUGUAGCAGUGAAAUGCGUAGAGAUGUGGAGGAAUACCGAUGGNGAAGGCAGCCUCCUGGGAUAACACUGACGUUCAUGCCCGAAAGCGUGGGUAGCAAACAGGAUUAGAUACCCUGGUAGUCCACGCCNUAAACGAUGUCGAUUAGCUGUUGGGCAGCAUGACUGCUUAGUAGCGAAGCUAACGCGUGAAAUCGACCGCCUGGGGAGUACGGUCGCAAGAUUAAAACUCAAAGGAAUUGACGGGGACCCGCACAAGCGGUGGAUGAUGUGGAUUAAUUCGAUGCAACGCGAAGAACCUUACCUGGUCUUGACAUGUACGGAACCCUCCAGAGACGGAGGGGUGCCUUCGGGAGCCGUAACACAGGUGCUGCAUGGCUGUCGUCAGCUCGUGUCGUGAGAUGUUGGGUUAAGUCCCGCAACGAGCGCAACCCUUGUCAUUAGUUGCCAUCAUUAAGUUGGGCACUCUAAUGAGACUGCCGGUGACAAGCCGGAGGAAGGUGGGGAUGACGUCAAGUCCUCAUGGCCCUUAUGACCAGGGCUUCACACGUCAUACAAUGGUCGGUACAGAGGGUAGCCAAGCCGCGAGGUGGAGCCAAUCUCACAAAACCGAUCGUAGUCCGGAUUGCACUCUGCAACUCGAGUGCAUGAAGUCGGAAUCGCUAGUAAUCGCAGGUCAGCAUACUGCGGUGAAUACGUUCCCGGGUCUUGUACA
This 760-nucleotide ribosomal RNA is filed under the name uncultured bacterium. RNAcentral's name for it is "bacterial SSU rRNA". It matches the Rfam family "Bacterial small subunit ribosomal RNA", at positions 626 to 1387 of the family's 1533-position model. The record is from RNAcentral.